This 425-nucleotide ribosomal RNA is filed under the name uncultured Nostocaceae cyanobacterium. Its description in RNAcentral is "bacterial SSU rRNA". It matches the Rfam family "Bacterial small subunit ribosomal RNA", at positions 356 to 795 of the family's 1533-position model. Lineage: Bacteria; Bacillati; Cyanobacteriota; Cyanophyceae; Nostocales; Nostocaceae. The record is from RNAcentral.
GGGGAAUUUUCCGCAAUGGGCGAAAGCCUGACGGAGCAAUACCGCGUGAGGGACGAAGGCUUUUGGGUCGUAAACCUCUUUUCUCAGGGAAGAACACAAUGACGGUACCUGAGGAAUCAGCAUCGGCUAACUCCGUGCCAGCAGCCGCGGUAAUACGGAGGAUGCAAGCGUUAUCCGGAAUCAUUGGGCGUAAAGCGUCCGUAGGUGGUUGUGCAAGUCUGCUGUCAAAGCACAAGGCUUAACCUUGUAAAGGCAGUGGAAACUGCACGACUAGAGUGCGGUAGGGGUAGAGGGAAUUCCCAGUGUAGCGGUGAAAUGCGUAGAUAUUGGGAAGAACACCGGUGGCGAAAGCGCUCUACUGGGCCUGCACUGACACUCAGGGACGAAAGCUAGGGGAGCGAAUGGGAUUAGAUACCCCAGUAGUC